AAUACUCAAAGGAAAUUGGCUUUUCUCCUGAAAGAGAUGGAUUCAUUAAGAAAAUUUAGAUUGUGACUUUAAUGUUCGUUUUCAUGAACAUCACUGUUCACUAAAAUCAAAACGAGAAAUAUGUUUGGAGAAGGCGUUAACUAGAUUAGUAAAUGUUGAUUCUUGUUAGCUUAUCAGCUAAAAUAUUGCAUAGUGGCAAGGAAGAGCAAAUAGCUUGGCUGGAAUGUAGGUUUCAUUUAUAUCAGGAAAAUCAGGCUGUGGAGUCUAGAAACUCCUACGUAGGUUUUACCUAGGAGUGUGACUAAUGGAAUAGAGACGUUUAAUAGCACCAGCACAUUUCAGAAGGCUGCUGAAUAGUAGACAGUUGCAAAUACAUUAUAUUGAGGGAUCUGCUAACAGGAUGUACUCUGAACAAGAAAACAUUGCAGAAACAAUCUGCAUGUAUAUCAUAGCUCCAGGAUUACUGUUCAGGGGGUCAUUUAUGUUUAUAACCUUCAAAAAUUCAAAGCUCUUACGUUAUUUGAUCAUGCUUAUUUUCAUGGGAAUCAGUGAUUUUAUUCCUAUUUAAAUGGCUAAAGUUGUUAUGCAUUGGGAGAUGGGUUUCUUAUUCUGCCUUUACAUUAUAAAAAUAACAAAAUGAUAUAUUUGUUGUCUUCUCAAGUAUUUAUCCUUAUCCCUUAACAUCUGCCAAAUAAUUUUACCAAAGAAAAACAGGCAAAUCCAGAAUAUCUUCUUAUCUAGUGAAGGCCAUUGCUUAAAUAUGUCCACUCCAUAAAUCAAGUAAAUUACAACCCCAAGAUAUUUUCUUUUUUCACACUGAAUGCAUCCUGAAAACACAAAAUUAGGUACACCCUUUGUUGUUCUCAUAUACUGUUUAUGUGACACAUGUAAGUGAAAAUGGAUUAUGCUCUUAUAUACACAUUAAUCUCAAAAAAGACUUUUGUGCUUUUAGAAUUCACAGGCAAUGUGCAAAUUCUUGAUGAGCAUGUCUACAUUUUCUACUUAUUUUUGUGGUUGUUGUUUUGAGAUGGAGUCUAGCUCUGCCCCCUGGGCUGGAGUGCAAUGGUGCGAUCAUAGCUCACUUCAGUCUCAAAAUCCUGGGCUCAAGAGAUUGUCCCACCUCAGCCUACCGAGUAGCUAGAACCGCAGGUGCAUGUCACCAUGUCCAGCUAAUUUUUAUUUUUACUUUUAUUUUUUGUAAAGAUGUGGUCUCCCUGUAUUGCCCAGUCUGGCCUAGAACUCCUGGCCUCAACUGAUCCUCCUGACUCAGUCUCUCAAAGUGCUGGGAUUACAGGCAUGAGCCACCACACUGGCAAAUGUCUACAUUUUUAAAAACAAAUUAAACAUAAAGAGCUCAUAAAGAAUAGUCAAAGUUUAUUUGUGGAAAAAUAUAAGACUGAUCUAUAAGCUUUUAAUUCCGCUAUAAUUUGUGAAUGUAAACCUCUCUUUAAGAUAAAAGCAGAUGCUAGCAUCAUGAGGUACCUGAGGGCUCUAGUUAGUUACCAAGAUGGGAAAUGUGCCUGGGGCUUUCUGUAAUUGCAUUUCCACCUUGAUUUGAUAGGGUUGAUUUGGCAAACUAGCAUUUUCUCUCUAUCUGUGUACUUCCACCAUGCUCCAGCUCAGUGAUUUUCUAAUGUUGGUGGGCAGAGAAUCAAGUAGAGACUUAGUCAACUUGGGCCCCUCUCCAGAGACCUGCCUCAGUAGAACUAGGCUGGGGUCCAAGGAAACUAUUUGUAACAAGACCCCUUAGUAACUUUUUAUAACCCAAGAACGCUUCUACCUACAGUAUUGGCACUGCUGGAUAGAGUGGCCGGUGUGAGUCAAAUGAGGGUGCAUGCUCUAAAUUCUAAACCAGUAUCAAGAUUCAUCUGUGGAGAAUAUAGUGUUAAAUAAUGUUAUUUGUGAUUAAGCAUUAGCAUGUAUAGAAUUAAGUCAUGAACACUUUUCAUAGAAUGCAAACAAUGUAUACCCUACAUGACAUUAAAAAUCUAUGUCAUCAUUGUCAUCAUCAAAAUUACUAUUUGACAAACUCUUUUAAGAACGUGUGUACAUACACACCAUUUGCAAGCAACAAAAGUGACAGAGGGAAAACACUUCACUCAAGAUACACAGAACGAGGCCCAUAUGGAGAAAUGGACAGAAGUUACUGACAAAUAAAAUAAAAGAUUUGAACAGUAAGAAAAAUCUGCCUGUGUCUACAUAGAAAGUUGGCUAUCAUAAAGAUGAAAAUUCUCCCUAAAUCAAGUUACAUAUUCCUGAAAACAAAAUGUGAUUAUUUUUCCUGAAAGAAACUAUCCUCCAAAAAAGAGGGAGCCAUUUUAUAUUUGAGUUCUUACAAAAUCUCUCAUAAUGUGGGGGCCCCUCUCUAUUUUAUUUCAAACUUCAUUUUGGGAAGACACAAAGGCUCUUGAAAUGAGAGCCACCAAUGUUUGUUUUAGAUGCUUAUAAAGGUUUCCUCAUGGAGCUGUUAACAUAGCAAAAUAAAUUUUUUAACAAAGGAAAAUUUGGUAACUAUUUCUGGGGUAAAGAUUUUACAAUAGCAAGUAUUAUCACUAGACAUUACUUUAAAUGUGGAUUUUUUGAAAUCACGGUAGAAAACAAUAUAAAAAGUGUUCAUGUGGCAGUUGUUAAGAAUACACAUCUUCAGGGUUUUUUAAUAUAAAAAGGGGAAAGAACAGUCUCAUUAUUAUAUGCAUAGUUUCUCUGAUUUGGUACAAAAUUUUCCAGUGAUGUCACUGUGGAAUGAUCCAAGUGUUGCCUGUCAGCAGAGAUAGGAGUGAAGUUGAUGAUGAUGGUUAGAUGGCCUCACAAGGGACUCUAGUGAUAGUAAAGGUUCCAGUGGCAAACACACAAGUGAAAAGUUUGAAUAUAGUUUCAUAAUGUUUGAGAGUGUAAAAAAUGCAUUUUUAAAUUAAUACAUUACUUUCUGUACUAUUUUAGAUAAGUGUGUAUCUAAAUAAACACAUAAAAUGUUAUGAGUAAA
Molecule: long non-coding RNA, 2983 nt
Filed under: Pan troglodytes (chimpanzee)
Lineage: Eukaryota; Metazoa; Chordata; Mammalia; Primates; Hominidae
Description: lincRNA
Source: RNAcentral